CAGGUAGGCUCUGCUUUCCACGUCAAAAUCAGGUAAUUAUGAAGAAGCUAUAGCUUGUGUAUUGCUAGAUCAAGUCACAAACCAAACCCCAAAGCCCGUGCUCCCAGAGCCUGCAGCAGGAUGCAUAGAGCUUGGAUCAUAUGCCACACCCAAUGUGAGAGCCCUUGCCUUGCCACCUAGUGGCCGGCUGAGUCUGUGUGAGUUAAUGAGCCUCAACAUCCUCAUCUGUACAAUGGGAGAAAAGCAGUACCUACUCAUAAAUAUCUCUUAAUGACUAAAAGAUAGAAUACUUAUGAAGGGACCAGGGUGCAAUUAUGGAGGGAAACUGCAAUCAGUGUUUCCUUCUGAUAUUGGCAAUGUUAUGUAGAGAUUAUAGAUCAUAGGCAGGUUGGCCGUAUUUUUUGAUCCCCAAAUUAGGAAAUAGAUAUGACACUUAAGAGUCUACUCAUGAAAAAAACAGGUUAAAAUAUUUGAAAUGGGAGCCUGUAAAAAUAUAACAUGAUUUCUAAUAUCUUUCUGUAGGUGCUUAUACUAAACCAUAGGCUUCAUAUAAUCUUUGACUUCUAGAAUGUCGUAGAAAGUUUUAGCAUGUCCCAAUUGUGUGUGUGUGUGUGUGUGUGUGUGUGUGUAUCUCACUGGAAUCAAAUCCAGCCCCUCCACAUACCCAGCAUGUAUUCUACCACUGAGUCAUAUCCCUAGUCCCUGAGUAUGUAGUAGUAAAAUAAAAUAAAAAGUAGGUAGACUGAGACCAAAUAAUCAUUCCCUGAACCCUAAUUUUAUUCCUUACUUUGUAAAUAAUACAGACCUGGUUUCUGUUUUCAUUUUAAUUUUUUGUCUUUGGAGAACAAAGGUUAGAAUACAAACCUCAAACUUCCUUUAUUUUCAUAUAAGAUGUAACAUAAGAACUAAGAUAUGAGUCAUUUGGAGAAGCAUGAAAGCAAUGAAAAUUAAUAGUUUUUUAUGGGAAAAAUUUGAAGCUGCUAAUAUUAUUAAAUCCACAGCGGAGAAAGCUAAAUGAAAAUGUCGUAAUUAUCAUUCUGCCCCUAAGCAUUAUCUUCACAGAAAACCUGUUAAAGUAGAACGAUUGUAAAUAAUAGAAGGGGAUAUUGAAAUUUUUUUUUUGGGGGGGAAGAAUGUUCUAGAAACUGGGACUGCUAAACAUUCUCCUGGUUCCCACAUUAUAGUGAGUGACCUGAGGAAACAGUGGCUAGUACUUUUCUAGAAUUGUCUAAAUCCCUUUCACAACAUGAAAACCUUGAUCUUCAAUAGUUUUAUUCUACAACCUCUGAUCCUUAAAAAAAAAGUCGCAUGCUUCAUAGUUAUCAUCAAAAGUACCAUUCCACAUAAAUGUGUGAGAUGCCUAACAAAAUAUCAGGCAAAAUGGUAGACUCUAGGGAUAUAGUAGAAUUCCUGCUGGAAGAAUAUCCUGCUCUCUGGGUAGAUGAGAGAUACACAGCACUUAGAAUAGUCGGCCUCCUAUGUGUGGCAGCCAUGACUGUCAUUCUUACUAAGUCCUACGGAACUUCCAGUAGAGACUGAUGACAGUGAUGGUUCUCAGUGGUUGAGCUUAUGUUAUGUGAUGGUCACUGUACUUCUUGCCUUGUCUUCAUUGUCCCCUUUAAUAUUCUCCACGACCUUGUAAGUUAGCUCUUCUUACAGGAAUAGGACCUGAGGCCCCAGAACAGUGGCGGUGUGAAGACGGGAGGCCCAGGCCUGUACCUGGCCUCAUUCAGCCCCACUUUGACCAGGGAGACUGGGUCCUGGUUUCUUUUACUUUCUACCCAAAGUACCUUGUUUUCUUUAGAGCUCCAUUGGUAGGCUCAUUUUAGAACCAUGCAGUCAGUCUGGAAGUAUGAUCAGCUUUUUAGAAAGCUCCUUGGAGUUAUAUUAAUAAACACAGCUUAAAGUUUGAGAAUUGGCCACCAUAACCAGAGAAUAGCCGAAGGAAAAUCACCAGCACACCUAGAGUUUCUAACAGUGUAUAAAUGUGCAUCUGGGGCCUAGCUGGUUGUGAUUUUCCACCAGGGACAAGGACGGUGGUGGGACUUGGUUUUUACCUGCAGACAUAGGAUGCCUGCCUCAGAGAAGCAGAACUGGCCCAGAUACAGUGUGACAUUUGUGAGACAACAUGACAACAGAGCUUAGAGUAUAGGCUUCAUACUGCCAAUUACCUGGGUGUGGAAGCUUGAUUUCCUUCCUGUAGCUGCAUAAACAGCCAAGGAUUUCCAUUUCAUUUUCCUUUUUGGGGGGUGGAGGGUACCAGGGAUUGAACUCAGGGGCACUCAACCUCUGAGCCCCAUCCCCAGCCCUAGUUUGCAUUUUAUUUAGAGACAGGGUCUCACUGAGUUGCUUAGGGCCUCCUUUUUGCUGAGGCUGGCUUUGAACUCAUGAUCCUUCUGCCUCAGCCUCUAGAGCCACUGGGAUUGCAGGUAUGCACCACCAUGCCCAGCAAGGUUUUCCAAUUCUGAGUACCAGUUUCCCUAACCUAUGAGAGAGAAUGUACAUCCUUACAUCCCAGACUCCUUGUGAAUAUUAUUAAUUAGUUAACAAAUAACAAGUAAAUAUCAAUUAACAAAGCAUGAGACACAGCCUCAUGAGGUUGGGACUGUUCUUUAGCCCCCCACCCUCAGCACAUAAUCAAAUGCUUUGUUUUUGGGAAAGAGUCUAUUAUUCCCAAAAGGUUAUCAGAAAAUGUGCUCUGCUGCAGAUGGUCAGUGUUAAAAAAAGAAGAAAGAAGUUCAGAGAGGGCAUGGACAUUGCCCAAGGGCUAGGGAUGGGGUGGCGGAGGAGACAGAGAUCUGAGUGUGGGACUUGCUUUUAGUGGCAUUCCCUGAGGCCUGGGUUCUCUCUAUUCCCAUCCCAGAUUUUAAAGGAGCUUGAAAAUUUGGGAGAAGAAGGCUAAUAUUGCAAGAGAAGAUGGCUUCAGAGAUGGGGAGUUGGGUGGUCCCGUCUUUCCUUCCAGACAUUGAUUCACGAUGACUUAAUUCUAGAAAGAUCGUCAGCAAGUAAAAUAAAUAGGCUAAUCACCGUGGGCAAAUUGUAUGUUAAUGCAUCUGAACAUUGUUUCCAGUCUGACCCUUAAAUAUACGUUUAAUCAAUCUAGACGGAUGAGUCAUCCUGCUCUUAAUUCAUCUUUCUGGACAUUUAUAGAGAAAAGGCCAAGUCUUCACGCAGACCUUAUAAACGUGCCUUGGUUUGGUAUGGAUUUUUAUUUAUGUGCAGAGCCCAAGCAGCCGUUGCUUCUAAAUGAUGGCUUGUUUUGAAUGUUCUCAGACCUUCAAAAUGUUUUAUUUCUACCCUUGGGGAGGGAAUGGGGUGAGUUAAAAGAAAACACGGAAUGGUUGUUUUUCAUGGCAGGAGCCAGCAGUCCUUCUGGGCUGUGCGGUUGUGUUUGGGCUUUGUCGCUUUACAGUGGGGGUGGGGAGAAAGACGGGGUGCAUGCGAAUCAGAAGGCCUUCUUUGGGGAACCAUGUCUCACUCAGAUUUAUCUCAUCACAGGGACCCUGUGUUCAGUUUCCUUUGCCACCGAAAUGAUCAAUGUCAUUCCUUUGGAUGUGGGGUAUCCCCCAGAAGCUCACAGGUGAGAUAUGCAGGAAGGUCCAGAGGAGAAAUGACUGGGUUGUGAGAGCCUUAACCCAACCAGUGAAUGAACCCCUGAUGGGAUUAACUGGGCGGGGGCUGUGGCUGGAGGAGGGGGCAUUGGGGGCGUGGCUUUGGGGGUCUCUAUUUGUCUCUGGAGAGUGGAGUCUCUCUGCUUCCUGAUCACCAUGUAAGCUGCUUCCCUCCACCACAGUCUUCCUCCAUGAUGUCCUGCCUCCCCUGGAGCCCCGAGGAAUGGAGCCUGCUGUCUAUGGACUGAGACCUGGGAAACUGUGAGCCCCAAAUCAACUCUACCUCUUGUCCCAUUGCUCUGGUCGAGUCUUUUUGUCACAGCAGCAAAAGGCUGACUCAAACAAGGAGUCUCAUGAAAGCAUGUCCCUGGAAACUAAAGGCUUGCACUUCACCGAAGGCCAAGUUGGGGCCCAACUGCCCAGGCCAAGCCCAGUGUCAUCAUGGGCUUUUGGUCUGUCAGACAUGCCGGGGAUGAACCAUCUGCUCGUCCUGGGCUAGGAGUGUGGCUCUAGAGCUAUUUGCUCCAGGGAUCGCCUUAAAUUGGAGUCAGUCCUCUGGGCUCUGGGCUGUGCAUAUGUGCAGCAGAUAAUGGCAUUAUCGCUCUGUCCUCAAGUUCCUCUUGUCCACCAGGCUGUUGUGCCCCAGGAUCAAUGACUCUUGCUAAUUUUGUGGUCCUGCCUUCAGCUCUUAGCAUUCCUUUGUAUAAAGUCCUCUGUAGCAGACACUGUAAAAUUCCAGAAACUUGCUAUAUCCCCCGGGUUUGGACUUUGUAGGUAUUCCUGAGAUUGACAUUCCUAUGAUCAUGAAAUAAAGCGAGGUCAUAAGAAUGGCAUGUCUUGAGCUAGAAAUAAAUCCACUGUGGCUGGAGGAGGGUGGACAAGGAAUGGGGGUGGCAAUUUGGCCAGUUACGAGGGCCAGAUCAUGAUGGGUCUCAGGAGAUACCGUAGAGAGUUUGGGUUUUACUCUAAAUCCAAUGGGAAGUCACUGCAAGGUUUCAAGCAGAGGAC
Molecule: long non-coding RNA, 4619 nt
Filed under: Marmota monax (woodchuck)
Lineage: Eukaryota; Metazoa; Chordata; Mammalia; Rodentia; Sciuridae
Source: RNAcentral